CCUGCAGUUUCAUUUCAUUCCUUUUGCAAAGCCAGCUGUGUCUCCUCCCCACAACUCCUCAGAAAUAAAAAAAACAAAGAACUUUCUCUCUCUCACUAGCUAACCUUCAUUUUCUCUCUCCUCCCAUCUCCGUGAUCCUCAACAAUCCAUCACUAGUAAACAAGAAACACAGAGAGAGAGAGAGAGAGAGAGAGAGAGAAGCACAAGUCAAAAAGAGAAACCAGAGAGAUGAGUGUGAUUGAAAUCCUAACGAGAGUCGACGCGAUCUGCAAGAAAUACGACAAGUACGACUUCGACAAGCAGCAACAUCUCAACCUCUCCGCCGCUGACGACGCCUUCGCCCGCCUCUACGCCGCCGUCGACUCCGACAUCGACGCCGCUCUUCAGAAAGCGGAGGCGGCAUCGAACGAGAAAAGUAGGGCCUCUGCGGUUGCUAUCAAUGCCGAGAUUCGACGCACCAAAGCUCGGUUGCUUGAGGAAGUCCCUAAAUUGGAGAGAUUGGCUAUAAAAAAGGUUAAGGGGCUUUCGACAGAAGAACUUGCUGCCCGUAAUGAUUUGGUCCUUGCUCUGCCAGAUAGGAUUCAAGCCAUACCAGAUGGGAGUGCAGCUGCUCCCAAACAAUCUGGAGGCUGGACAGGUUCAGCUUCCCGCACAGAAAUCAAGUUUGAUUCAGAUGGACAGUUCAAGAGUGAGUACUUCCAGCAAACAGAAGAGUCCAGCCAAUUCAGGCAAGAAUAUGAAAUGCGGAAAAUGAAGCAGGACCAAGGAUUGGAAGUGAUAUCAGAAGGUUUGGAUACAUUGAAAAACAUGGCCCAUGAUUUGAAUGAGGAAAUGGAUCGGCAAGUUCCUUUAAUGGACGAGAUUGACACUAAGGUUGACAAGGCCGCAUCUGAUCUUAAGAACACCAAUGUGAGACUAAAGGAUACUGUUAACCAGUUGAGGUCCAGUCGAAAUUUCUGUAUUGAUAUUAUACUGUUGUGCAUAAUUCUUGGGAUUGCUGCCUAUCUAUAUAAUGUAUUGAAGAAUUAAGAUGAUCGAUCGGCUACUGUUUCUGCUCGUGAUAUUGGCUUUGUCUGGUAUUGUUUUGUGUUGAUUGAGGCCUUGUUAUGUGCUUAUUUUGGAGAUGAUUUGUUUUUCCGGUUUACUCCGUUGGCUAAGAUUCUACCAAACUGGCUUGAGAAACAUCACAUUCCACUUCAAGUGCUAGGUUGAAAUCCUCCCCGUUGCAGGCAGGAAAUGGAGAUUUCUACAUCAUAAUCAAUGAUUGUGAGAGAGCCACAUUAAUACAUUAGUAUUUUAAAACUCAUAAUGAUGUGGCAAUUUAUACUCUAAAUUUUGAAUUUUGAUGAUGUUCCACAAAAUAGACCUAGGUGGUGGCCUCUCUUCUUCCUCAUGGAAUGAGCUUAUCUCUACUUUUUUGGACAUUGAAGCAUGUAUAUCAUAUCCUUAACUGAAUCGUAGCUCCUUUUGCAAGUUUUUGCACUUCCUAUGCAAGGGUGCCACUUGCUGGGUCAAAUCUACUAAAAAGUGUUAAUUUU
Camellia sinensis is the source of this 1538-nucleotide non-coding RNA. NCBI's taxonomy places the organism in Eukaryota, Viridiplantae, Streptophyta, Magnoliopsida, Ericales, Theaceae. The record is from RefSeq and is a predicted model, not a curated record.